UGAAGUUAAAGGCUGUGGNUUAACCAUAGUACGCUUUGGAAACUGUUUAACUUGAGUGCAGAAGGGGAGAGUGGAAUUCCAUGUGUAGCGGUGAAAUGCGUAGAUAUAUGGAGGAACACCGGUGGCGAAAGCGGCUCUCUGGUCUGUAACUGACGCUGAGGCUCGAAAGGGUGGGGAGCGAACAGGAUUAGAUACCCUGGUAGUNCACGCCGUAAACGAUGAGUGCUAGGUGUUAGGCCCUUUCCGGGGCUUAGUGCCGCAGCUAACGCAUUAAGCACUCCGCCUGGGGAGUACGACCGCAAGGUUGAAACUCAAAGGAAUUGACGGGGGCCCGCACAAGCGGUGGAGCAUGUGGUUUAAUUCGAAGCAACGCGAAGAACCUUACCAGGUCUUGACAUCCCGAUGCCCGCUCUAGAGAUAGAGUUUUACUUCGGUACAUCGGUGACAGGUGGUGCAUGGUUGUCGUCAGCUCGUGUCGUGAGAUGUUGGGUUAAGUCCCGCAACGAGCGCAACCCUUAUUGUUAGUUGCCAUCAUUCAGUUGGGCACUCUAGCGAGACUGCCGGUAAUAAACCGGAGGAAGGUGGGGAUGACGUCAAAUCAUCAUGCCCCUUAUGACCUGGGCUACACACGUGCUACAAUGGCUGGUACAACGAGUCGCAAGUCGGUGACGGCAAGCUAAUCUCUUAAAGCCAGUCUCAGUUCGGAUUGUAGGCUGCAACUCGCCUACAUGAAGUCGGAAUCGCUAGUAAUCGCGGAUCAGCACGCCGCGGUGAAUACGUUCCCGGGCCUUGUACACACCGCCCGUCACACCACGAGAGUUUGUAACACCCGAAGUCGGUGAGGUAACCUUUUAG
This 855-nucleotide ribosomal RNA is filed under the name uncultured bacterium. Its description in RNAcentral is "bacterial SSU rRNA". It matches the Rfam family "Bacterial small subunit ribosomal RNA", at positions 590 to 1446 of the family's 1533-position model. The record is from RNAcentral.